RNAcentral lists this ribosomal RNA (484 nucleotides) under uncultured bacterium. RNAcentral describes it as "partial 16S ribosomal RNA". It matches the Rfam family "Bacterial small subunit ribosomal RNA", at positions 29 to 507 of the family's 1533-position model. The record is from RNAcentral.
AAUGAACGCUGGCGGCAUGCCUAACACAUGCAAGUCGAGCGAAUGAAUGGGGCUUGCUCCUGGAUUCAUCGGCGGACGGGUGGGUAAUGCCUAGGAAUCUGCCUUGUCUUGGGGGAUAGCGUCCGGAAACGGGCUCUAAUCCCGCAUCCGUCCUUAUGUCGAAAUUGGGGGAUCUUGGGACCUCACGCUUUCUGAUGAGCCUAGGUCGGAUUAGCUAGUUGGUGGGGUAAAGGCCUAACGAGGCGACGAUCCGUAACUGGGCUGAGGGGAUGAUCCGACACACUGGAAGUGAGACACGGUCCAGACUCCUAGGGGAGGCAGCAGUGGGGAAUAUUGCGCGAUGGGCGAAAGCCUGAUCCAGCAAAGCCGCGUGAGUGAAGAAGGUCUUAGGAUUGUAAAGCAAUUUAAGUUGGGAGGAAGGGAAGUAAGUUAAUCCCUGGCUGUUUUGACGUUACCAACAGAAUAAGCACCGGCUAACUCCGUG